GGGUCAGUGGGUUGGUCAUGCCACUGGUAUGUACUGGUCUCACUGAUUCCUCCUUCCUGAUGAACUGUAAUGCCAUUAAUUUGGUGUUGCAGGAAAUCUGGACUGUUACUUUGAAAAAAUUAGAGUGUUUAAAGCAGGCUCACGCUUGAAUACAUUAGCAUGGAAUAAUGAAAUAGGACGUUUGAUUCUAUUUUGUUGGUUUCUAGGAUUGACGUA
This 216-nucleotide ribosomal RNA is filed under the name Campeiostachys nutans. RNAcentral describes it as "Elymus nutans partial small subunit ribosomal RNA". The stretch from base 40 to 216 matches the Rfam family "Eukaryotic small subunit ribosomal RNA", at positions 686 to 864 of the family's 1831-position model. The record is from RNAcentral. Lineage: Eukaryota; Viridiplantae; Streptophyta; Magnoliopsida; Poales; Poaceae.